GGUGCGUAACACGUGAGCAAUCUGCCCUUAAGACCGGAAUAGCCCAGGGAAACUUGGAUUAAUACCGGAUGUGGAGGAGUCAGGCAUCUGACUUCUUCCAAAGCUUGUAACGGCGCUUAAGGAGGAGCUCGCGGCCUAUCAGCUAGUUGGCGAGGUAACGGCUCACCAAGGCUAAGACGGGUAACUGGUCUGAGAGGAUGAUCAGUCACACUGGAACUGAGACACGGUCCAGACACC
This 237-nucleotide ribosomal RNA is filed under the name uncultured bacterium. RNAcentral describes it as "partial 16S ribosomal RNA". It matches the Rfam family "Bacterial small subunit ribosomal RNA", at positions 105 to 339 of the family's 1533-position model. The record is from RNAcentral.